Heterocephalus glaber (naked mole-rat) is the source of this 73-nucleotide non-coding RNA. The record is from Rfam. NCBI's taxonomy places the organism in Eukaryota, Metazoa, Chordata, Mammalia, Rodentia, Bathyergidae.
GGGGAUUUAGCUCAGUGGUUCUGGCACCUGCCUUGCAAGCGCAAGAUCCCGAGUUCAAUCCCCGGUAUCCCCC